UGGAGAUGCCUCAUGUUCUCC
This 21-nucleotide non-coding RNA is filed under the name Arabidopsis thaliana (thale cress). The record is from RNAcentral. Lineage: Eukaryota; Viridiplantae; Streptophyta; Magnoliopsida; Brassicales; Brassicaceae.